RNAcentral lists this ribosomal RNA (253 nucleotides) under uncultured bacterium. Its description in RNAcentral is "partial 16S ribosomal RNA". It matches the Rfam family "Bacterial small subunit ribosomal RNA", at positions 524 to 776 of the family's 1533-position model. The record is from RNAcentral.
UACAGGGGGUGCAAGCGUUGUUCGGAAUUACUGGGCGUAAAGGGCUCGUAGGCGGCCAACUAAGUCAGACGUGAAAUCCCUCGGCUUAACCGGGGAACUGCGUCUGAUACUGGAUGGCUUGAGAUUGGGAGAGGGAUGCGGAAUUCCAGGUGUAGCGGUGAAAUGCGUAGAUAUCUGAAGGAACAUCAGUGGCGAAAGCGACUUCCUGGACCAAUACUGACGCUCAUGUGCGAAAGCGUGGGGAGCAAACAGG